RNAcentral lists this non-coding RNA (304 nucleotides) under Peptoclostridium litorale. Its description in RNAcentral is "Clostridium litorale T-box sequence". It matches the Rfam family "T-box leader". Rfam says of the family: Uncharged tRNA acts as the effector for transcription antitermination of genes in the T-box leader family. T-boxes are found upstream of many aminoacyl-tRNA synthetase genes and some amino acid biosynthetic genes usually in Gram-positive bacteria. The anticodon of a specific tRNA base pairs to a specifier sequence within the T-box motif, and the NCCA acceptor tail of the tRNA base pairs to a conserved bulge in the T-box antiterminator hairpin. Lineage: Bacteria; Bacillati; Bacillota; Clostridia; Peptostreptococcales; Peptoclostridiaceae. The record is from RNAcentral.
UUAAAUUCUGUGAUUGGAAAGAGUAGGCUUGAAAUGUUGUCCAAGCGAGCCGGUGUUGGUGAGAGACCGGUGUCAAUGUUCUUGUUGAAUGGUUCCAGGAGAAGCGGUGUGAAAUCUUAUGAGAGUAUCGCCAGCCGUGUGCCUCACGUUAUAGGGGCAGGGUAUCGAGACAGGCCGACUGUUGAGCUUAGGCUUUUUUAUAGACAGUAUAUGUACAAGGUUUGUUUUCCGUAUCUGUAAAGAGAGAUGGGUAAUACCUUCUAAAAUAGGUGGCAGCGCGGAAUGAUGACAUUUCGUCCUAUAU